UGGGGAAUAUUGCACAAUGGGCGCAAGCCUGAUGCAGCCAUGCCGCGUGUGUGAAGAAGGCCUUCGGGUUGUAAAGCACUUUCAGCGAGGAGGAAGGUGGUGAACUUAAUACGUUCAUCAAUUGACGUUACUCGCAGAAGAAGCACCGGCUAACUCCGUGCCAGCAGCCGCGGUAAUACGGAGGGUGCAAGCGUUAAUCGGAAUUACUGGGCGUAAAGCGCACGCAGGCGGUUUGUUAAGUCAGAUGUGAAAUCCCCGGGCUCAACCUGGGACUGCAUUUGAAACUGGCAAGCUAGAGUCUCGUAGAGGGGGCUAGAAUUCCAGGUGUAGCGGUGAAAUGCGUAGAGAUCUGGAGGAAUACCGGUGGCGAAGGCGGCCCCCCUGGANGAAGACUGACGCUCA
This 402-nucleotide ribosomal RNA is filed under the name uncultured bacterium. RNAcentral's name for it is "partial 16S ribosomal RNA". It matches the Rfam family "Bacterial small subunit ribosomal RNA", at positions 355 to 749 of the family's 1533-position model. The record is from RNAcentral.